GAUGAACGCUGGCGGCGUGCCUAAUACAUGCAAGUCGAGCGAACAGACGAGGAGCUUGCUCCUCUGACGUUAGCGGCGGACGGGUGAGUAACACGUGGAUAACCGACCUAUAAGACUGGGAUAACUUCGGGAAACCGGAGCUAAUACCGGAUAAUAUAUUGAACCGCAUGGUUCAUUAGUGAAAGACGGUUUUGAUGUCACUUAUAGAUGGAUCCGCGCCGCAUUAGCUAGUUGGUAGGGUAACGGCUUACCAAGGCGACGAUGCGUAGCCGACCUGAGAGGGUGAUCGGCCACACUGGAACUGAGACACGGUCCAGACUCCUACGGGAGGCAGCAGUAGGGAAUCUUCCGCAAUGGGCGAAAGCCUGACGGAGCAACGCCGCGUGAGUGAUGAAGGUCUUCGGAUCGUAAAACUCUGUUAUUAGGGAAGAACAAAUGUGUAAGUAACUAUGCACGUCUUGACGGUACCUAAUCAGAAAGCCACGGCUAACUACGUG
Molecule: ribosomal RNA, 497 nt
Filed under: uncultured bacterium
Lineage: Bacteria
Description: partial 16S ribosomal RNA
Rfam family: Bacterial small subunit ribosomal RNA
Source: RNAcentral